UACGAAGGUGGCAAGCGUUGUUCGGAAUUACUGGGCGUAAAGGGCGCGUAGGCGGCCUGCUAAGUCGGACGUGAAAUCCCUCGGCUCAACCGGGGAACUGCGUCCGAUACUGGUGGGCUCGAAUCCGGGAGAGGGAUGUGGAAUUCCAGGUGUAGCGGUGAAAUGCGUAGAUAUCUGGAGGAACACCGGUGGCGAAGGCGGCAUCCUGGACCGGUAUUGACGCUGAUGCGCGAAAGCCAGGGGAGCAAACGGG
This 253-nucleotide ribosomal RNA is filed under the name uncultured bacterium. Its description in RNAcentral is "partial 16S ribosomal RNA". It matches the Rfam family "Bacterial small subunit ribosomal RNA", at positions 524 to 776 of the family's 1533-position model. The record is from RNAcentral.